GUCUAUGGCCAUGCCACCCUGAACAAGCCUGAUGUCUGAUCUCAGAAGCUAAGCAGGGUUGGGCCUGGUUAGUACUUCGAUGGGAGACCAUCUAGGAAGACCAGGUACUGUAGGCA
Molecule: ribosomal RNA, 116 nt
Filed under: Pteropus alecto (black flying fox)
Lineage: Eukaryota; Metazoa; Chordata; Mammalia; Chiroptera; Pteropodidae
Source: RNAcentral